This is a small nuclear RNA of Gadus chalcogrammus (walleye pollock), 194 nucleotides long. RefSeq annotates it as U2 spliceosomal RNA. NCBI's taxonomy places the organism in Eukaryota, Metazoa, Chordata, Actinopteri, Gadiformes, Gadidae. The record is from RefSeq and is a predicted model, not a curated record. The transcript has a single exon.
AUCGCUUCUCGGCGUUUUGGCUAAGAUCAAGUGUAGUAUCUGUUCUUAUCAGAUACUACACUACAGAUCGCUUCUCGGCCUUUUGGCUAAGACAGUGAUCCCCUCCGUUAUCUGUUUAUAUAUUGCCUAUUUAGUGGCAAUUAUAUAGCAGGUUAGGAGGAUAUUGCACCAUCUUUUUGGUAAGUUGGGGUCAA